GUGAUUGGAACUUGGAAUUUGGACUCUAAUUCAUGCUUAGUGUGUUCGAUUGGGAACUCCCCUGAUAUCUUUCCUUAGUUGUUCUUCCCCUACAAUCCAAUCCUCCAUCCACAACCCCUCUUCCAUCAUCACAAAAAAGGAAUACGAAUUGCAGGAAUAGGAACACUACUCUUCGAUGUCGACGAUAAUAAGAACAACAAGUUGAUGAAACCCUAAGCCCAAACGCGUUCUUGAGCGCAAUCCCAUAGGUCAUCCGCCUAUUUUGCCAUGGCGAUCAUUUUCUCGAAAUCUUAUAUUGGAGGAAUUGUUGUGGUGUAGAAAUGGUGACAACCUCCUUUUCUCUUCAAGAACCCUUUGAACAUGUGGGGGAAAACUUCAAAAUUAAUGGAAGCUUGAAUUCAAUUGCUACACCAAUGUUCAUGAUGAAGCCAAUACACUACAAAACAUUCCCCACCCAUUCUCACUUUCCCUCUUCCGUAUUUUUCAUCUUGAUUGAACAUUUGUACUCUUUUUAUAGCCAGGGUGAGGUCUAAUCAUAAAUGGUUUAUUUCUAUUUUUGUUCUUAUUCUACAAAUGUCUAGGACAUUAAGCCUCUUCUACAU
Long non-coding RNA from Vigna unguiculata (cowpea), 602 nucleotides. The record is from RefSeq and is a predicted model, not a curated record. NCBI's taxonomy places the organism in Eukaryota, Viridiplantae, Streptophyta, Magnoliopsida, Fabales, Fabaceae.